AGUGAACGCUGACGGUAGGCCUAACACAUGCAAGUCGAACGGCAGCACAGUAAGAGCUUGCUCUUACGGGUGGCGAGUGGCGGACGGGUGAGGAAUACAUCGGAAUCUACUUUUUCGUGGGGGAUAACGUAGGGAAACUUACGCUAAUACCGCAUACGACCUACGGGUGAAAGCAGGGGAUCUUCGGACCUUGCGCGAUUGAAUGAGCCGAUGUCGGAUUAGCUAGUUGGCGGGGUAAAGGCCCACCAAGGCGACGAUCCGUAGCUGGUCUGAGAGGAUGAUCAGCCACACUGGAACUGAGACACGGUCCAGACUCCUACGGGAGGCGGCAGUGGGGAAUAUUGGACAAUGGGCGCAAGCCUGAUCCAGCCAUACCGCGUGGGUGAAGAAGGCCUUCGGGUUGUAAAGCCCUUUUGUUGGGAAAGAAAAGCAGCAGGUUAAUACCCCGCUGUUCUGACGGUACCCAAAGAAUAAGCACCGGCUAACUUCGUG
This 492-nucleotide ribosomal RNA is filed under the name uncultured bacterium. RNAcentral's name for it is "partial 16S ribosomal RNA". It matches the Rfam family "Bacterial small subunit ribosomal RNA", at positions 29 to 507 of the family's 1533-position model. The record is from RNAcentral.